RNAcentral lists this transfer-messenger RNA (405 nucleotides) under Alistipes sp. It matches the Rfam family "transfer-messenger RNA". Rfam says of the family: Bacterial tmRNA, also known as 10Sa RNA or SsrA, is named for its dual tRNA and mRNA-like properties. Its role is to liberate the mRNA from a stalled ribosome. To accomplish this part of the tmRNA is used as a reading frame that ends in a translation stop signal. Lineage: Bacteria; Pseudomonadati; Bacteroidota; Bacteroidia; Bacteroidales; Rikenellaceae. The record is from RNAcentral.
GGGGCUGACCGGUUUUGACAGCAGGCAGAGUCUGAUUGUAAGCACGUCGAGCGCUGUGCGGCGGCUCGUUAAUCCCGAUGCUCAAACUACAAAUGGCAAUAACAGCUAUGCACUCGCUGCCUAAUUUUCAAGGAAAAGCAGGCUUAAUCGCGUGACCCGAGGAGGUCGUGCGACGAGUAUCCCGGCGGACGGUUCCGCUCUUUAACCGCUCGUCAUACGGGGUAUCAUCAAUUAAGAGAUAGUGCGGCGCCAGCCUCGUGCGCCGUGCGAAAUUCAAGAGGCUGGGUUCCGUAUCAGGUUGCCGCCUGCCGUAUGCGGAAAGAAGGAUUAAACGGUCGGCUAAACGUGUAGAAAGCUCUCGGGUUCCUUGUUUGGACAGGGGUUCGACUCCCCUCAGCUCCACAA